CAGUAUCCUUUUUCGGUUUGAGAACGUUGGGACUUGGGUUAGAGACCACAAUCACACUGAGCAGUAACAAACAUGGAAAGAAGCUCGGAUUAUGGAGCUUUCAUGGAGAAAUUCGUGCUCAAACCGAGUUCUUCAUCUCAUGAACUUCCCUUAAAUGGUCUUACCUUUGCGGUUAAAGAUAUGUCAGUCUCUUCAAUUCAAUUAUUUUUCUUGGUUUCUUUUUCGUUUCCUUCAAUAUUCGUCUCUUAUUUUAUAGUGAAUUCAUGAAUAUUUUCAAUUACGAUGCUCGUUUUCAUGCUUGUUUUGGGCUCAUCUUCCAGCUCUUGAUGAUACUGGGUUUGGUUCGAAUUGGAAUUGGAAUAAAAAUUUUGCUUUCCUUUUUAUUUAUUUAUUUUUUCAAUCUGCAUCUUAUUGUGUUUUAAUGUUUAGUUUACCUUUGUGGGUUGAACUUUUGGAUUAGUUUCGAUGUGAAUGGAUUUGUGACUGGGUUUGGCAAUCCGGACUGGGCAAGGACCCAUUCAGCUGCUACAUCUACUGCUCCGGCUGUUUUGGCUAUCUUGAGAGGAGGAGCCACAUGUGUUGGUAAAACUGUCAUGGAUGAAAUGGCAUAUAGUCUAGAUGGGGAAAAUAAACAUUAUGGCACACCUACAAAUCCUUGUGCUCCAGAUCGUGUACCUGGAGGAUCUUCCAGUGGGUCUGCUGUUGCAGUAGGUGCAAAGCUUGUAGACUUCUCCUUAGGAACUGACACUGGAGGAAGUGUAAGAGUUCCAGCAUCAUAUUGCAGCAUUUUGGGGUUUCGACCUUCACAUGAUGCUGUUUCUACUGCUGGAGUUAUUCCCAUGGCACAGAGUUUUGAUACUGUGGGAUGGUUUGCUAGGGAUCCAGUGAUUUUGAAUCGAGUUGGUCGCAUUCUACUUCAAUUGCCUGAUGUGGAUCUGGUUAGACCAAGGCAGAUAUUUAUUGCAGAAGACUGUUUUCAGCUUUCAAGCAUUCCGAAUAAUCGAGUUAGUCAAGUUCUUGUUAAAUCAGUGGAGAAGUUAUUUGGGGGUGAUGUUGUGAAGCAUUUAAUCCUUGGGGACUAUGUUGAGAACAAAGUUCCAAGUUUGAGUCAUUUUAUUAGUAAAGAAAUCAAAAAGCAAGACUAUGGUAUAGCAUCCUUGGCAGCCCUCUCAAGUGCCAUGCGUUUGCUUCAAAGGUAUGAAUUCAAGAAAAACCAUGGUGAAUGGGUUACUACUGUCAAACCUGAUUUGGGUCCAGGAAUAUCAGAACGAGUGUGGGGAGCUAUUCAAACAACGGGAGAAAGCAUUGAUAUUUGUUACUCUGUGAAGGCGGAAAUAAUUGCCACCCUUACAACUCUUCUUGAGGAUUUUGGUAUCCUGGCUAUCCCUACAGUACCAGGACGUCCACCAAAACUAAACACAGAUCCAACUACUCUGGAAAUUUUUCGUGCCGAGGCUUCUAGCUUGCUCUCCAUUGCUGGAUUAUCAGGAUUCUGCCAGGUGAGCAUACCGCUAGGCAUGUACAAUGAUGUACCUGUAGCUAUUUCAUUAUUGGCGAAACAUGGUUCAGAUGGCUUCCUGCUCAAUGUUGUUGAAACUCUUUAUGACACUCUCCAAGAACAGAUUGCAAUUUCAGAAUGAUAGCUUGCUGAAUCCAGAGGUCCUCCUCAUCUUGCCUCAAAAAAAUGGUCAGAGAUUCAAUCUCAGUUAACUCUUUCAUGCCACUUAACAUUUUCUGUUCAACAAAAACUACUGAUGUGUAAUUUCAACUUACCAUACUUUCUCUUAUUGCGUUAAUUGACUAAACAAUGCAGAACCAUACUCUCUCUCUCUCUCUCUCUC
Molecule: unclassified non-coding RNA, 1841 nt
Filed under: Hevea brasiliensis (rubber tree)
Lineage: Eukaryota; Viridiplantae; Streptophyta; Magnoliopsida; Malpighiales; Euphorbiaceae
Source: RNAcentral